GAGCCAUGUGUACCCAAAUUGUUCUGUGUUGCUGAGGUCAAGUUUGGUGUGUGAGGUGUGUGUCAGCCUUGCUCAUGAAGCCUUGUGUGUUCUCUGCUUUGGCUGCAGCCCCACUACUUACGUUUUGGAUGAAGAUGAACCUCGGUUCCUUGAAGAAGUUGAUUACAGUGCAGAAAGCAAUGACGAGUUAGAGGUUGAAUUAGCGGAGAAUACAGGCGAUUAUGAGCCUUCUGCCCAAGACGAAGCCCUUUCCGACUCUGAGGUAUCAAGAACACACCCUAUUUGAACUUUCUUCCACCUUUGUUAAUUGCCAAGAAGAAAUGAAAUGUCUUGGUUUUCGUUGCACAGGAAGUAUGAGAGGGACAAGCAUUCAGACAGCUGACUCAAGACGAAAAGGACCUUGGGCCUGUUUGGUUUCAAGACAAUAAAUAUAUUAUUAAUUG
Molecule: long non-coding RNA, 443 nt
Filed under: Rattus norvegicus (Norway rat)
Lineage: Eukaryota; Metazoa; Chordata; Mammalia; Rodentia; Muridae
Description: long non-coding RNA NONRATT012218
Source: RNAcentral